This 409-nucleotide ribosomal RNA is filed under the name uncultured bacterium. RNAcentral's name for it is "bacterial SSU rRNA". It matches the Rfam family "Bacterial small subunit ribosomal RNA", at positions 370 to 772 of the family's 1533-position model. The record is from RNAcentral.
AAUGGGCGAAAGCCUGAUGCAGCGACGCCGCGUGAGCGAUGAAGGCCUUCGGGUUGUAAAGCUCUGUGGGGAGGGACGAAUAUGGGCUGGCUAAUAUCCAGUCUGAUGACGGUACCUCCUUAGCAAGCACCGGCUAACUCUGUGCCAGCAGCCGCGGUAAGACAGAGGGUGCAAACGUUGUUCGGAAUUACUGGGCGUAAAGCGCGUGUAGGCGGCUAUAUAAGUCGGACGUGAAAUCCCACGGCUCAACCGUGGAAGAGCGCUCGAAACUGUGUAGCUUGAGUCCUGGAGAGGAAAGCGGAAUACUUGGUGUAGAGGUGAAAUUCGUAGAUAUCAGGUAGAACACCAGUGGCGAAGGCGGCUUUCUGGACAGUGACUGACGCUGAGACGCGAAAGCGUGGGGAGCAAA